RNAcentral lists this RNase P RNA (215 nucleotides) under Actinobacteria bacterium IMCC26207. The stretch from base 77 to 175 matches the Rfam family "Bacterial small signal recognition particle RNA". Lineage: Bacteria; Bacillati; Actinomycetota; Actinomycetes. The record is from RNAcentral.
CGUGCCGAUUCGGCCGCUCUCGCACGUCUCCGAGAGGAGAGGAUAGUCUGAGUGUCCACUCGUGUUUUCAGGUGGCGGUCGGGCCCUGUGCAAUCGGAGCCCGUGAAUCGGGUCAGGGCCGGAAGGCAGCAGCUCUCAGCGGAACCUGCGGUGUGCCGCAGAUCGCCUGGCCGCCUCCUGAAAACACGUGAACACCUGCGCAGAAGACCGGCACG